GAUUGAAUUAAAAGAAAUGGGAAGAAUUCUUUGAAAAUACCCCAAGAAGAAAAGUUCUAUUCUUUUAGUGAUCAUUCUGGGAAAAAAAAAAGAAGAAAAAAAACAACCCAAUUAAAACAAAAUGGAACAAAAAUGCCACCACCACCCCACCAUUACCACCAUUGUUGGACAUACAUUGUCACAAUGGCGACUUAAAAUGGUUAAGAAUCCAAUUUGCAUAAAAGAUUCCAUUGUUACAUGGCAUUGUUGUUUUUUUUCUGGUUUUGUUUUUUUUCUGCAUUGUGUAUCAAGAGUUUCAAAGCAAUCUCUACCAGAUGAGAAGUCUCGUGUGAGGGACGUUGCUGGUAAAUGCAAAGCAAAUGUCUCAUUGCAAUGAAAAUCAUUUCUUUCUGUUUAAUAACUUUGAGGGAACAUCUAUGGUACGUUUGAAUGCAUUUCGGUAUACAAUGUUAUUUUGUUCAUAUUUAAUUCCUAUCAACCUUUAUUAAAUGACCAUUCCUGUGUCCACUUCUUUCUGUUUAAAAGUUUAAAAGUCCAUUUUUCAGAGAAAUAUAGCAAUAAAUCUGCUGUAAUGUGGACACGUGUUACGACUUAAAAAACAGCUGCGAAAAGCGUAGUUCCUUUGGCUUUUAUGGUGUUUGUUCUGUCCUAAUUUCACUUGCAGUUAACAUGAGCAGUGUCAGUCAAUCCGGCAGACAUGAAAGUGGCUCCGCUUCGGCGUACGGCAGCUUCUCCGGAGAAGCAUCUCUCUGAACUCCGCCUAUGGGGAUGUUUGUCCUGUAAACUAAAUAACCCAUUUAAUGGCAGUCAGAGGCUCCUAAUACCGGAAGUCACAAAAAAGGUUUUAUCAACGUCUGCCGGAUUCGUGAGCUGCGGAGAUAUUUAUCGCGUAAAGAUGUUUUCGCCCUACUGGAUAAUGAACACAAGAGGGCGCCCUACCUCCUCCUUUUCCCGGGAUAUUCUGAGCUGUAACUGGAAAAGGACAUUAACAAAGUGAAGUACAGUACUUUUUUUUGUCAUAACAUUUGGUUUCUGUUGCCUGGGAGUAGUAUUUGUAAAUGUAAUCAUGUUGUUAAAAUGUAUGUACAUAUGCUUGUAUUUUAUAAAAACCUAUUUCUGUUGUUAAUUCUUUACUUCUUUUUUAAAAAAAUAUAUAUAUGUGACAUUUGAGUGUGAAUUACAUAUAUAAAGACAGUUAAUAAACAUCCAAAUAAAAAAAGCGAAAUAUAUAAGUUUAUUGUAUGGAAAUAGAAUCUGUGUGCAUAUAAAGUAUGAACCAUCAAUAUUCAUAUGUAAAAAGAUAAUACAA
Molecule: long non-coding RNA, 1309 nt
Organism: Brienomyrus brachyistius
Lineage: Eukaryota; Metazoa; Chordata; Actinopteri; Osteoglossiformes; Mormyridae
Exons: 2
Source: RefSeq, a predicted model, not a curated record